This 3175-nucleotide long non-coding RNA is filed under the name Sorghum bicolor (sorghum). RNAcentral describes it as "long non-coding RNA (SBIC_LNC014618)". Lineage: Eukaryota; Viridiplantae; Streptophyta; Magnoliopsida; Poales; Poaceae. The record is from RNAcentral.
CCUGUUGUCCCCUCGAUCUCCUCUUGAUGAUUCUGAUGUUGGCUUUGUCAAAUAAUGUCUUGAAUUUGUUGUUCCUGCAUAAACAAGCUAAGAGUACAAGUGGAACUAGUUAUGGAUAAAAUAUGUUCAUGUCAUGUCAUUUCCCCUUGCAACCGAGGCAUGUUGACGGUGUUUUGUAUGUGGAUUUCUAUGGUAUAUCCACCGUCAACAGUACGCCACUGUUUUACUGACCCUAACUAUAUAGUUGAAGACUCUAAGCAGGUCAGGACAAGAAGACAACGACGCAACCGCAACCAGAGGAGGCAAAUCAUCAAGGACGGAUGGGUAGACUAUGAAGGAGAAGUUGUAAGGUCUGAAGACAUACAACUUGAACAGAACUGUCCUGAGGAGACCGUAGCACCGAGUCAGGUGUAGAAAGAGAAGAUAGUUAUAUACGAAGAUGAAGCACCGUUGGAACCACCGACUACGCCAUCCAGCGAAUCCCAGGACGACUGAGAAAAUGGAGAGUCCCGUUCGGAGGACUUAAAAACACCGAACGCCUUGCCAAGAGGUAAACUUGGUAGUUAUCUUUUUCCUUUCAAUUAUUUUAGUUAAUCAGGUUCAUAUCAUCUUGAAAAGAAAAUAAAAAUGUUUAAAAUAGUAAGCCCCAUGUGAGUAUGCUCAUGGCAUAAAACCCAUAAGUACAUUCACUGUGGUGGCAUAAAAAAUGAAAUAAAUAUAUUCCUGUCCUAUAAAAAAUAAAAUUAUAAAAAUAAAAUUAUGAUCCUACUAAAGAGAGUAACAUUUAUUGAGGAGGCUCAACAUGAUAAAGGCUAGAUACUUAUGCUAACACUUAACUAGUUCCACAAAGCUUUGUUGUCUACUUGAGCUCCACAGAAUUCAAGGAUCAAAGAAGACUAGCAGACGGAGGACAUCCUAAUCGCUGUCAGGGUGCUGCUGACAUUCAAAUACACCUUCACCACUCGCUAGCUACAUUAGAAGAAACUACGUCAAAAUCCAGCUUGGGGGAGAACACCCCCAUUUAUCCAGCUAAGUAUUCUACUCACGUUUAUACUUUACUUAAAUAAUAAAAAGAUGCAUAAUCAUAAAAACCCAAAUAAAUAUUUUGUGCUUAUAUAUAUCUUUGCUUAGUUUGCUAAAUAAAUAAAUAAAUAAAGUUUUGCUAUGAACCCUCAUGAUAAGCUCUCACAUGGAAAUGAUGAAUAGUUGCUGUGCCAUGAUUAGUUCUCAAAAUUGAAAUCUCUCUCAAGUUUAGGCAUGACUGUUAUUAAUUAAGAUUUGCUCUAAACCUGAACUUGUGGGGAGAGUACUUGAUCUAAAGUCUAAGUCGUUAACGGAUACGAUAUGGGAAGGUUGAGCUGCUGUUUAUCUGUUCAUAGAGAUGCUAGAAUUCUGGAGAAUUUUAUCUUUGAAAAUCUUUAAAUUGUUACAUGAUGAGUUCCUGUAUGUUGAGAGUUUAAAUUCCUACCACAGCCAUAUAUACAUGCUUGCUAGACUUUGAGCCACACAUUUACUUUUUACUGCUUAUGAGCAUUGAGUGUGGUCAAGCUGUGUAGACCCUUAGGAGCUUGUCAUGUGGUUAAGUCAAGAUUCACUUGCACGUUCACUCAUACAUGCUGCUUCUACUCCGGAAGUACGCAUCCACAUAUAUCCACCCAUUUCCAUCUCCAGAAUCACCUAAAAAUAUUCUACUCCUAAUCCGGGAGAGAAUAGCCAAAAACAUUUCUGUUUUCCCCUUUUGAAAUAAAUGCUCAAGUUAUCUUGUUACUACCACUUGCUAUAUUAUCUCAUGAGAUGAGUGCUCUAAAAAAAAGAGAGGAAAAAAAAGAAAAGAAAAAAAAGUAUACGAGGAAAUAAAAAGGGGCAAGUGCCCAGAACCUCGAAAGAAAGAAAAAGUGAGAAGAGAGGUAAAAAUGGACAAGUGUCCGACAGUAGAAUUAGGGGUACAAGAUACCCACCUGAGAGAAAAGAAAAAAAAAUAUAGAGCAUCUCAUUCUCCUCAAAAAGUUUCAAAAGAGCAAGAAAGGUAUGUAUCCCCUCAAAAGAGCAAAAGUAGACUUAGACUUUCACCAUUGUUAUCACCAUCAUCACCUUACACCAUUCAUUCGCCACACAUGCACAUCUUGAUUUGACUUAUUGACUUGUUCUUCUGGAUCCAUGGUUUGACUAUGCAAUAAAUGUCUUGUAAGUAUGUAUUAGCUGUCUCCCACCUAUGAGCUCCAGAUAUCAAAACCUUAUUAGAGUAGGGUGAGAGAGAAGGCAAUGUCACUAUGCCUCAUACCAAAAAUACCACAUACUUUGAGAGAAGGCAUACACCUUUACUGCCUUGGUAAGGAUCCAGAAAUACCACAAAAGAGAGACUAGAGAGAGUCAUACAAGGAAUCUCUGAGUUUUAUUUGAAAAUCUGCAAAAACUCCAGAGCUAUAGUUAAUCGAAGAACAAGAGACAUGGUGCUUGACUAGACUGUUCUAUCUUUUAACUACUCAAGACAGAAGUGACGGUUACAAGUUCCAUGGUGAAAGGUAAAUGAGUAAGUUUUAAGUCUUAACAGUUUACUCUAACCAGAGAUGAGAUCUUGUUUAAACGCAUGUGUAUCUUUAAGUUAUGAAACCACUGCAGAAACUCUUGAGUUCAUCUUUGCUCAGGACGAGCAAAGGUUAAGCUUGGGGGAGCUUGUUGACGGUCCUUAAUGCUCACAAUUAACCAUCAAUUAAUCAUGGAAAAGGAUCCAAAUGCAACCAACACCUAGACUUAGGGUUUUAUCUGAUAGAAUUCCACGAGUUUUGGUGUUUGUCUAUUUCUGCAGGGGGUUAUCAGGAAAUAUGAAAGAAAGGCCCACACGUCGGGUUUACAUAGAGAUAUUAAUGUGUCGCGUAAUUUUCUAUCAUCUAGAAGAAUCCAGAAGCCACGGGAACGAACGGGGAGGCAAUCGGGCUCGGAGGCAGGGCGCCCGCCCAACUCUCCUGGGUGCCCGCCCUUAGCCAGAGUCCAAUCAGGACUCUCUUUCGGGAUAUUGCUCCACCGACCUAAAGGAUCAAGGAUAACCGUUCAAUCAAUGUCGGUUUAAUCCAACGGCCCAGAUUCACUUGAAGGGACUAUAAAACCAAACCCCCCUGGCCCCUGGAGAUCAUACCUCUUUUACAGAAUCAAAGCUAGGGUUUCAAUUCUUCAUCCA